This 441-nucleotide ribosomal RNA is filed under the name uncultured bacterium. Its description in RNAcentral is "partial 16S ribosomal RNA". It matches the Rfam family "Bacterial small subunit ribosomal RNA", at positions 338 to 795 of the family's 1533-position model. The record is from RNAcentral.
CCUACGGGUGGCAGCAGUGGGGGAUAUUACACAAUGGGGGGAACCCUGAUGCAGCGACGCCGCGUGGGUGAAGGAGUGCUUCGGCAUGUAAAGCCCUAUCGGCAGGGACGAAGCAAGACGGUACCUGACUAAGAAGCCCCGGCCAACUACGUGCCAGCAGCCGCGGUAAUACGUAGGGGGCGAGCGUUAUUCGGAUUCACUGGGUGUAAAGGGAGCGGAGACGGCCAUACAAGCCAGAGGUGAAAGCCCGGGGCCCAACCCCGGGACUGCCCUUGAAACUGCAUGGCUGGAGGGCGGGAGGGGCAGGCGGAAGUCCUGGUGUAGCGGUGAAAUGCGUAGAUAUCAGGAGGAACACCGGCGGCGAAGGCGGCCUGCUGGACGGCGACUGACGGUGAGGCUCGAAAGCGUGGGGAGCGAACAGGAUUAGAUACCCGAGUAGUC